UUUUGAUCUUGUUGUUGGACACGUCGUUUUUGUAAAAUCCGUGCUUGUUCACUCUCAAUCAAAAGCUGCCUUUUGAAGCCAAUCUUUCCAAGUUAUUACCAAUGUGUGUGUUGCAGAACAAUAAGUCGGCUAAGAUGAAGCAGAACAAGCUUGGUCUCCGUCGUGAACAAUGGCUUUAAAGGGUUCCUGGCUUGAUACUUUUUGGUCUUGUUGUUGGUCGCCUACUUCGUUUUUGGGAUGCUCGCAACAUCAAGAAAGAUGGUCAAUUUCAUGGGCAUAGUCCUCCUGUU
RNA transcript from Arabidopsis thaliana (thale cress), 290 nucleotides. RefSeq lists it as uncharacterized. The transcript is spliced from 3 exons. The record is from RefSeq. NCBI's taxonomy places the organism in Eukaryota, Viridiplantae, Streptophyta, Magnoliopsida, Brassicales, Brassicaceae.